AAUCAACGCUGGCGGCGUGCCUAACACAUGCAAGUCGAGCGAGAAAGGGGCUUCGGCCCUGAGUAAAGCGGCGCACGGGUGAGUAACACGUGGGUAAUCUGCCCUAGAGUGGGGAAUAACAUCGGGAAACCGAUGCUAAUACCGCAUACGAUCACGAGGUCUUCGGAUUUUGUGAUGAAAGGAGCAAUCCGCUCUUGGAGGAGCCCGCGGCUGAUUAGCAGUUGGUAAGGUAAUGGCUUACCAAGGCUACGAUCAGUAUCCGGUCUGAGAGGACGGUCGGACACACUGGAACUGAGACACGGUCCAGACUCCUACGGGAGGCAGCAGUGGGGAAUUUUUGGCAAUGGGGGAAACCCUGACCAAGCAACGCCGCGUGGAUGAUGAAGUAUCUUGGUACGUAAAAUCCUUUCGACAGGGAAGAAACCCGCAAGGGUUGAC
This 438-nucleotide ribosomal RNA is filed under the name uncultured bacterium. Its description in RNAcentral is "bacterial SSU rRNA". It matches the Rfam family "Bacterial small subunit ribosomal RNA", at positions 32 to 473 of the family's 1533-position model. The record is from RNAcentral.